GGAAGAAUAGAGUAAGAUCCACUUAAUGUUGUGGAGAGCAAGGCAAUAGUACCUACCUCCAAAACACAGACAGCUCCAGACCCAAAGAGAAGACCAGUGUGAACUCAGCCCGGGAGAGUGUGAGGUCAGCUGACAAAAAAAAUGGAGAAGUCACCAGAUGAGAAAUAAGGAUGCCAUCUUCUGUGAUGUGACCCAGCCAAAGAUACUGUAACCAAAACCCGAAUUAAUGAGGACACACAAUAUUGACAUCAAUUCUUCAAAAUCAUAAGGACUGGCCACACAAUGCUCCCUUUGCAGAACAAGAUGAAGGAAAAUGAGAAAGCAAAAAUGUGGAGCAGUAAGUAGGCAUUUCGUGGUUUUCUGAAACCACUAAACUCCAUACGCCUUCCACCAGAGCAGUCCCGAGUGCACAAGAGGGACCAGCACACGCUCAUACGCCGCUGCCGCCGGCCUUUCCCAGCAACACCAGGCCCACCGACAGCACACCGUAUUUCAGGUCCCAGGGGACUCUUUCCCAUCUGACCUUGGCUGUGAGAAACAAACCUGAACAGAGGCUUUCCUUGUCCUUCAGCCAUUCUUAGCUGAAUGGGUACAAUGAACCAAGCUUCAGCAAAAUCCACCGACAGCAGCUGGGAAGAGAAGGGGAAUUAUGGGGCAGAUGAUAAAGGCCUUUGAUUAUGGAAGCAUUUCCUGAAUAGAGAGGACAGCAUCACCACCAAGCAUUUUAUUAAGUGAAGAAAACAAUGGCACACAUGCUGAAAACAUGCACCCACAUCCCAGAAGAUAUUUCCAAAGCUAACCUUGACUCUCAGUUCAUUGAAUGAGGCCACCUUGGCCCUGAAGAUAUUACUUUCAGAACACACUGCCAAUUCUUUGGAAUAUCCUUGGUGCUUGAUUUGAAUUUUUUAUUAGACCCACAUUGACCAUGGCAACUAGGUAGAUGUGCAUCUAGAGAGAAAGUGAAGUGGGUUUGCUCAGGUAUCACGUAGCUUGGCCAUUAAGAGCAGCUUCUGUGAUGUCUAGCAUUUUGGCAGCCACUUUGGAAUAAGUGUGCAAUCUCCCAAAGGACCUUCCUGGAAGGGUAACAGUCAUUUAAUAAAUGUGCAAGUUCUGAUGUCAUUGAAUAAAUAUGAAA
Molecule: long non-coding RNA, 1135 nt
Organism: Chinchilla lanigera (long-tailed chinchilla)
Lineage: Eukaryota; Metazoa; Chordata; Mammalia; Rodentia; Chinchillidae
Exons: 4
Source: RefSeq, a predicted model, not a curated record